GCAACAGGCAAUGUUUGCAUUUGCGCAGCCAUUCUCUUUGGAGCUGGUUCUCCUGCGACCAUCUUGAGGAGCAACAAGUCCGUCAGCAUUCAAGCCAUCUCGGAGCGCACCUACAACAAGUGUCAGACUGGUCAUCGAGUGAGGUGCGGGACGCAGCAGAACACUGAGCUUCUGCAAGGUCUCCGAGGCAAGAGCAUUGCCCUUGCUGGGAUGGACGCUGCGAUUCGCCAGGAUUCAGCGCAAAGUACUGCACCUACAGCUUCCACGAGGCAGUCACCAGGAAGGUAAUCCAUGUUGAGCAAGUGCUAGUUGGCAAGGUAACAUUUACUAACUGAGGCAAACUAAAUUAUUGUAAAACUGAUUUGCCUCUUGUUUACAACCACUGUUCCUAUCUGCUUUAAAUCUGAUUGCAUUUAUGGAGG
Molecule: unclassified non-coding RNA, 422 nt
Filed under: Ixodes scapularis (black-legged tick)
Lineage: Eukaryota; Metazoa; Arthropoda; Arachnida; Ixodida; Ixodidae
Description: gastrula zinc finger protein XlCGF17.1-like, transcript variant X1
Source: RNAcentral